This 1388-nucleotide ribosomal RNA is filed under the name uncultured bacterium. Its description in RNAcentral is "bacterial SSU rRNA". It matches the Rfam family "Bacterial small subunit ribosomal RNA", at positions 22 to 1399 of the family's 1533-position model. The record is from RNAcentral.
GCUCAGAUUGGACGCUGGCGGCAGGCCUAACACAUGCAAGUCGAACGGUAACAGGAAGAAGCUUGCUUCUUUGCUGACGAGUGGCGGACGGGUGAGUAAGUGUCUGGGAAACUGCCUGAUGGAGGGGGAUAACUACUGGAAACGGUAGCUAAUACCGCAUAACGUCGCAAGACCAAAGAGGGGGACCUUCGGGCCUCUUGCCAUCGGAUGUGCCCAGAUGGGAUUAGCUAGUAGGUGGGGUAACGGCUCACCUAGGCGACGAUCCCUAGCUGGUCUGAGAGGAUGACCAGCCACACUGGAACUGAGACACGGUCCAGACUCCUACGGGAGGCAGCAGUGGGGAAUAUUGCACAAUGGGCGCAAGCCUGAUGCAGCCAUGCCGCGUGUAUGAAGAAGGCCUUCGGGUUGUAAAGUACUUUCAGCGGGGAGGAAGGGAGUAAAGUUAAUACCUUUGCUCAUUGACGUUACCCGCAGAAGAAGCACCGGCUAACUCCGUGCCAGCAGCCGCGGUAAUACGGAGAGUGCAAGCGUUAAUCGGAAUUACUGGGCGUAAAGCGCACGCAGGCGGUUUGUUAAGUCAGAUGUGAAAUCCCCGGGCUCAACCUGGGAACUGCAUCUGAUACUGGCAAGCUUGAGUCUCGUAGAGGGGGGUGGAAUUCCAGGUGUAGCGGUGAAAUGCGUAGAGAUCUGGAGGAAUACCGGUGGCGAAGGCGGCCCCCUGGACGAAGACUGACGCUCAGGUGCGAAAGCGUGGGGAGCAAACAGGAUUAGAUACCCUGGUAGUCCACGCCGUAAACGAUGUCGACUUGGAGGUUGUGCCCUUGAGGCGUGGCUUCCGGAGCUAACGCGUUAAGUCGACCGCCUGGGGAGUACGGCCGCAAGGUUAAAACUCAAAUGAAUUGACGGGGGCCCGCACAAGCGGUGGAGCAUGUGGUUUAAUUCGAUGCAACGCGAAGAACCUUACCUGGUCUUGACAUCCACAGAACUUUCCAGAGAUGGAUUGGUGCCUUCGGGAACUGUGAGACAGGUGCUGCAUGGCUGUCGUCAGCUCGUGUUGUGAAAUGUUGGGUUAAGUCCCGCAACGAGCGCAACCCUUAUCCUUUGUUGCCAGCGGUCCGGCCGGGAACUCAAAGGAGACUGCCAGUGAUAAACUGGAGGAAGGUGGGGAUGACGUCAAGUCAUCAUGGCCCUUACGACCAGGGCUACACACGUGCUACAAUGGCGCAUACAAAGAGAAGCGACCUCGCGAGAGCAAGCGGACCUCAUAAAGUGCGUCGUAGUCCGGAUUGGAGUCUGCAACUCGACUCCAUGAAGUCGGAAUCGCUAGUAAUCGUGGAUCAGAAUGCCACGGUGAAUACGUUCCCGGGCCUUGUACUCACCGCCCGUCA